GCCGGGAUAGCCUAGAGGCCAGGCGGGGGACUGCAGAUCCCCUCUACCCGGGUUCAAAUCCCGGUCCCGGCUCCA
RNAcentral lists this transfer RNA (75 nucleotides) under Thermococcus chitonophagus. Its description in RNAcentral is "tRNA-Cys". It matches the Rfam family "tRNA". From Rfam's summary of the family: Transfer RNA (tRNA) molecules are approximately 80 nucleotides in length. Their secondary structure includes four short double-helical elements and three loops (D, anti-codon, and T loops). Further hydrogen bonds mediate the characteristic L-shaped molecular structure. tRNAs have two regions of fundamental functional importance: the anti-codon, which is responsible for specific mRNA codon recognition, and the 3' end, to which the tRNAs corresponding amino acid is attached (by aminoacyl-tRNA synthetases). tRNAs cope with the degeneracy of the genetic code in two manners: having more than one tRNA (with a specific anti-codon) for a particular amino acid; and 'wobble' base-pairing, i.e. permitting non-standard base-pairing at the 3rd anti-codon position. Lineage: Archaea; Methanobacteriati; Methanobacteriota; Thermococci; Thermococcales; Thermococcaceae. The record is from RNAcentral. RNAcentral also lists the same sequence under 5 other names.